Non-coding RNA from Equus caballus (horse), 72 nucleotides. NCBI's taxonomy places the organism in Eukaryota, Metazoa, Chordata, Mammalia, Perissodactyla, Equidae. The record is from Rfam.
GCCCUGGUGGUCUAGUGGUUAAGAUUCAGCACUCUCACCACUGUGGCCAGGGUUCGUUUCCCGGUCAGGGAA